UAGGGAAGACUGGGUUCAGACCUCCUCCCCGAACCCAGGUUAACUCUGAGAGUGGAGGGGAA
This is a non-coding RNA of Mus musculus (house mouse), 62 nucleotides long. Lineage: Eukaryota; Metazoa; Chordata; Mammalia; Rodentia; Muridae. The record is from Rfam.